GCCAGAUCAGUCAGAAAAGUACCUGAAUAUGUACAUAAGCUAUAUAAAGAUGAAACUAGAAAUGGUAGAGGCGUACAGGACAUGAGAAAAACGCUUCAGCAUGUCCAUCCAAUUUAUUAGGUAGCAACUCUAACCAAUUAAGCAACAAAUUUCAAGCAUCGAGUAUCAUUAUGAAUGGUCCGACAUUUGAUUGAGCAGAAGCGCAUCCCACACUGCACGCAUGUAUAGGUCGAGGAGAAACCACAAACUGUGCAGAAAUGGCGGCGAGCGAUGGAACUUGGAGGUCCUACCGCUGCUCUUAAAUAGGUUGGCACAUGUGGUGGCAAGGACUCUAGGUUUGCCUCAUUCAAGAGCUCAAGGAAUGAUUUUGGGGCUCUCUUAUUCUCAAGAGCCUUUGCUUGGCGAGUUUUCCGCUUUGUGCCCUUUGGGUACUUCUUAUGAAAUACUUGAUCCUCAUCGUCAAGAGAAG
Molecule: unclassified non-coding RNA, 469 nt
Filed under: Hevea brasiliensis (rubber tree)
Lineage: Eukaryota; Viridiplantae; Streptophyta; Magnoliopsida; Malpighiales; Euphorbiaceae
Source: RNAcentral